GAGAAAAGGGAGAAGAAAACUCUUACUAAAUGGAAAGAGAAAAAAAAACACAAAAAAUGAAAGUGAAAACAAGUAGAGGAGGGGGAGAAGAUGAGUGAGAAUGGGAAACAAAAUUAGAAAACAGAAAUAGAGAAAAUUGAUGGUCGAGCAAAAGCAAAAAAAUGAACAGUGAAAACUCCAGCCAUGGUAAGAGAAAGAAAGAAGAUUUCCAUUCCUAUACGUGACAUAUGGGUAAAUCAAUAAUCCACAUUUUCAUUCCAUCCCCAUGGUUUGAAAUAACAAAUUACUUGGUGAUAAGAUUAUAUUUUGUUUCUUUUCUUAUAAUAAUGAAAUGAUAUUCGAUGCUUGAAAGAUUGAAGAAAGUAUUCGAUAUAAAAAUUCACAAAAGGAAUGUUACUAACAACUUUUUACUCUUCUAUAUAUUUUAAAUUUAAAAAAUCAUAAAAAACAGAACAUUUAACAAAUAUUUAUACUAAC
Molecule: long non-coding RNA, 477 nt
Filed under: Cucumis sativus (cucumber)
Lineage: Eukaryota; Viridiplantae; Streptophyta; Magnoliopsida; Cucurbitales; Cucurbitaceae
Description: long non-coding RNA (CSAT_LNC001377)
Source: RNAcentral